Molecule: long non-coding RNA, 2069 nt
Organism: Syngnathoides biaculeatus (alligator pipefish)
Lineage: Eukaryota; Metazoa; Chordata; Actinopteri; Syngnathiformes; Syngnathidae
Exons: 3
Source: RefSeq, a predicted model, not a curated record
GCAUAAAUUUACAGGGAAUUUAGAAAAAAUAUAUUGUGCUCUAACGUGCCUGAGGGAUGUUUUAAAAUAAAUAAUCACUACUUUGGUUUUUACUCUAAAGUCUUAUGACGUCACUGUUGAUAUGGAUAAUGUCAUAGAUUGGGAAUGAGACAAUACAAUUUACAUUCUGGGGUGCUCAAUCUCAAAUGGUACAUGUGUGCCUAACGUGAAAGUGACGGUGUACACAUUUGAUAUACAAUCCUGAAAAGAAUUGAUAGUCCCACUUCCAUAACAACCUUAAAAAUCUCAGGGUUGACAUGAACGGAUUGGCAUUCUCUUUGCGUGGGCCUACUUUUACUUAAUUCAUUUUUCACCAUUGAAUCAGUUUAAAAAAAAUAAAAAACUUGGAUAUGGUGAUUCCGUGACGAGAAUUUUUUAUUUUUAAUUCAAAACAAUAUUGACGUUUUUGACAGUAAUGGUAAUAUCAGAUCAAGAGCUCUUGCUGCAGCUGAACCUUCUCGCGCUCUUUUCCCAUCAAGACCACAGUGAAUGUGCUCACUAGGCUGUGAAAUGAAAAUCAUCAAUGACGCCUCUCUCAGCAUCAAGGAAUAGUCCUCUGUGGCUCAUUCAUCGGCAUAUUGAAAACCAUAAAAUAUGACAAUGCAGCUAUUUCAUUCAGGGGGCCAUGGGUUCGCCAUAAUUGCAUUAAAGCAAUCGUGCUUUGUUCGCUCUCUCGGCAUAACCACCCCCCACCCCCUCCCAGACCCCCAACCCCUAAGGUGUGCAUUUUAGACACUGAUGCAUUAGUUCAUAUGAUGCUGUUAAUGAGAGAACCUUGGUCUCAACUGAGGUGACAUAGUGACCCAAAUUAACAAAAGUGGCGAGAGGUGAUGGAGGUGGUGUGUGUGGUCGUCUGUGUGUGUGUGUGUGCGCGCGCAUGUAUGUGUGUGUGUCAGCUAUAUCAGGGUUGCAUUCUUUAACAAUUUUGCUAUUCCCCAAAUGAUUGCUGGGUGUGUUAUCAGCUUGACUAGCAAAAAAAACAGCAACACUUUAAAUAGAUGCCUAGUAUCAAGGCCACCCUAAAAGCAGAUUCAACAGUGCCUCCACCCAAAAUAAUAAUAAUAAUGCGUACAUUUAGCCAUGUCAUAUGCAUUUCGCUCAGAAUAUCAGUAUCAAUAAUUUACUGUAUUCUCCAAACCAUGUGAGCAUUUGUUGAAUUUACAAGAUAUAGAAACAAAGAAACAAAGAUUAUCUUGUGGCACUUCUUGUAUGGAAGAGGUCUAGAGGUCUUUCAAACUAAUCCAAUUUAACCCCACAUGAGCAAGCACUAUUACAGGUAGUAAUCACUGAAAAUACAUUGCAUGGAGCAGCCUAGGAAAAACAUUAAGACACAUUAUUUGGGAAAACAAUUAAGCUGUUCUGAACGGGCAUAUGUUGCAGCUAGACACGAAAUAUCGACAUGGUAGACAGAGUCUUUACCAAUAUGUGGCCAUUGAGCUCAAAGUUUUUUUUUUUUUUUUUUUAUGAGAUCAUCCCCCCCCUAAUAAAGACCUCAGCCCUGAAAAGAUGCCUUGGAGCACUCUCUGCACUUGCGUAAACAAACACUGCCAAGCACUAGCCGCUUAUCCUCACAAAGGUCACGGGAAAGCUGGAGCCUAUCCCAGUUAGCUUUGGACAAAAGGCGGACGACACCCUGAAGUGGCCGCCAGUCCGUCACAGGGCAGAUAUCGACAGCAUCACUGAGCGGGAAUCGAUCCCACGCUGCCCGCACCAGAGCAUAUGAUGACAUCAAAGAAUGCAAAGGCCACCACAGUAUCACGCAGGAAAAGGUCAUGAGCAAGGUCCUGCUUUUAUCAAAGGAACUCAGCCUCCUGAGCAAGUGGAGGCACUUCCUCUCCAGAUCUUUUGUGUUAUCUGUCUGCUCCAGUUGUUUUAUGUGAAGACACAGCCACCUAAGUGAGUCUACUGUCUCAGUAUCAGAAGGCUGGAUGUUUGAACAUUUCAGCGCCACAAGAAUUUGACACACAAGAAUUAUUGAACUACACAAUAUUCAUACAUUAAAAAAAAAACAUAUAUACAUAUAAAACAGU